This 531-nucleotide ribosomal RNA is filed under the name uncultured marine bacterium. RNAcentral describes it as "bacterial SSU rRNA". It matches the Rfam family "Bacterial small subunit ribosomal RNA", at positions 355 to 878 of the family's 1533-position model. The record is from RNAcentral.
UGGGGAAUAUUGCACAAUGGGGGAAACCCUGAUGCAGCCAUGCCGCGUGUGUGAAGAAGGCCUUCGGGUUGUAAAGCACUUUCAGUUGUGAGGAAAAGUUAGUAGUUAAUACCUGCUAGCCGUGACGUUAACAACAGAAGAAGCACCGGCUAACUCCGUGCCAGCAGCCGCGGUAAUACGGAGGGUGCGAGCGUUAAUCGGAAUUACUGGGCGUAAAGCGCACGCAGGCGGUUUGUUAAGCUAGAUGUGAAAGCCCCGGGCUCAACCUGGGAUGGUCAUUUAGAACUGGCAGACUAGAGUCUUGGAGAGGGGAGUGGAAUUCCAGGUGUAGCGGUGAAAUGCGUAGAUAUCUGGAGGAACAUCAGUGGCGAAGGCGACUCCCUGGCCAAAGACUGACGCUCAUGUGCGAAAGUGUGGGUAGCGAACAGGAUUAGAUACCCUGGUAGUCCACACCGUAAACGCUGUCUACUAGCUGUGUGUGUCUUUAAGACGUGCGUAGCGAAGCUAACGCGCUAAGUAGACCGCCUGGGA